Triticum urartu is the source of this 929-nucleotide long non-coding RNA. RefSeq lists it as uncharacterized. The record is from RefSeq and is a predicted model, not a curated record. NCBI's taxonomy places the organism in Eukaryota, Viridiplantae, Streptophyta, Magnoliopsida, Poales, Poaceae.
CUCGGCUCCUCACAUCCCAAAAAACGCGCACCAACACAGCCUGAUGCGCCUUCCCGUUCCACUUCCACUGCUCCUUUAAUUCCCAUCGAGUCCGGCCACCCCGCUCCGUCUUCUUGGCUUGCUUAACAAAUCUGCCUCCACUGCGAGACGCCUCCUCCAGUGCUCGCCAGUCGACGCCAAAUAGGCCGCCGCAACCACAUGUAGCUGCGUCCAGCCACCGCGGGCGGCUGCCGCUGCUCGACCACCAUCGAUUUGGGUUGGUUUCGGUGCUCUCGAUUCCCGCUCGCGUCGCGGCCUCGCAAAGUCGCAGGAACUAAAGCGUCCACUAGAAGAAAUCUGGUGUAGUUUUGCAGCCCUGAUGGAGCCAUACCGAUGCCAAGUACUGACAAGGCUGCCUGAUCCCAAUCGAAAUAGUGCCUCUAUCACAAAGUACGUAUGAGCAGGAAGAUGAGCUAUUGGUAUAUGGAUCGGGGUCACGUACAAGUUCUAGAAUGUAUGGAUGUGGUGAUGCUGGAUUUGUUUCAUGGUGAAUCUCAGGCAACCCUUCAUCAAGCUUAUCUGUUACUCCUCACAUUCCAACAUCUUUGGCUAACUUUUGGGGGAUGCAUGCCAUCCAGGGAGGCGAUGAAUUGGCUACCGAGCGACCAUACGACGCCUACUCUCUCUGCUGCAUCUGCGAUUCAGCAUGAGUGUCUUCGGCUAGAAUGAGAACAUCGCAUAGUGUAAUUGCAGCCAAUCCCUUCCUUAUUUUUUCUCAGCAUGAUGUGCUCCAAUUUAGUGUAGUGGAUUUGAGGGGCUCCAGAGGUGAUAUGUCUUCAAAUGCUACCUCAUCAUUUUUCAUUUGUGGUGUUUCUUAUAGUUGUUUCAGUAAGAGAUCAAUGGGAAACGACAAUGUGUUUGGAUAAGUUAUUUAUGUGAAAAGUUAUCUA